This 497-nucleotide ribosomal RNA is filed under the name uncultured bacterium. RNAcentral describes it as "partial 16S ribosomal RNA". It matches the Rfam family "Bacterial small subunit ribosomal RNA", at positions 28 to 507 of the family's 1533-position model. The record is from RNAcentral.
GAUGAACGCUGGCGGCGUGCCUAAUACAUGCAAGUCGAGCGAACAGACGAGGAGCUUGCUCCUCUGACGUUAGCGGCGGACGGGUGAGUAACACGUGGAUAACCUACCUAUAAGACUGGGAUAACUUCGGGAAACCGGAGCUAAUACCGUAUAAUAUAUUGAACCGCAUGGUUCAAUAGUGAAAGACGGCUUUGCUGUCACUUAUAGAUGGAUCCGCGCCGCAUUAGCUAGUUGGUAAGGUAACGGCUUACCAAGGCGACGAUGCGUAGCCGACCUGAGAGGGGGAUAGGCCACACGAGAGCGGAGACACGGACCAGACGCCUACGGGAGGCAGCAGUAGGGAAUCUGCCGCAAUGGGCGAAAGCCUGACGGAGCGACGCCGCGUGAGUGAUGAAGGUCUUCGGAUCGUAAAACUGUGUUAUGAGGGAAGAACAAAUGUGUAAGUAACUAUGCACGUCUUGACGGUACCUGAUCAGAAAGCCACGGCUAACUACGUG